This 440-nucleotide ribosomal RNA is filed under the name uncultured bacterium. RNAcentral's name for it is "partial 16S ribosomal RNA". It matches the Rfam family "Bacterial small subunit ribosomal RNA", at positions 338 to 795 of the family's 1533-position model. The record is from RNAcentral.
CCUACGGGCGGCAGCAGUGGGGGAUAUUGCACAAUGGGGGAAACCCUGAUGCAGCGACGCCGCGUGUGGGAAGACGGUCCUCUGGAUUGUAAACCACUUUCCCCAGGGACUAAGAUGACGGUACCUGUGGAGGAAGCUCCUCCUAACUACGUGCCAGCAGCCGCGGUAAUACGUAGGCAGCGAGCGUUGUCCGGUAUUACUGGGUGUAACGGGAGCGUAGGCGGUACUGCAAGUUGGGUGUCAAAUCUACCGGCUCAACCGGUAGCCGCACUCAAAACUGCAGUUCUUGAGUGAAGUAGAGGCAGGCGGAAUUCGUAGUGUAGCGGUGAAAUGCGUAGAUAUUAGGAGGAACACCAGUGGCGAAGGCGGCCUGCUGGGCUUUUACUGACGCUGAGGCUCGAAAGUGUGGGGAGCAAACAGGAUUAGAUACCCGGGUAGUC